GACGAACGCUGGCGGCGUGCUUAACACAUGCAAGUCGAACGGAAAGGCCCUGCUUUUGUGGGGUGCUCGAGUGGCGAACGGGUGAGUAACACGUGAGUAACCUGCCCUUGACUUUGGGAUAACUUCAGGAAACUGGGGCUAAUACCGGAUAGGAGCUCCUGCUGCAUGGUGGGGGUUGGAAAGUUUCGGCGGUGGGGGAUGGACUCGCGGCUUAUGAGCUUGUUGGUGGGGUAGUGGCUUACCAAGGCUUUGACGGGUAGCCGGCCUGAGAGGGUGACCGGCCACAUUGGGACUGAGAUACGGCCCAGACUCCUACGGGAGGCAGCAGUGGGGAAUAUUGCACAAUGGGCGGAAGCCUGAUGCAGCAACGCCGCGUGCGGGAUGACGGCCUUCGGGUUGUAAACCGCUUUCGCCUGUGACGAAGCGUGAGUGACGGUAAUGGGUAAAGAAGCACCGGCUAACUACGUG
This 468-nucleotide ribosomal RNA is filed under the name uncultured bacterium. RNAcentral's name for it is "partial 16S ribosomal RNA". It matches the Rfam family "Bacterial small subunit ribosomal RNA", at positions 28 to 507 of the family's 1533-position model. The record is from RNAcentral.